Molecule: ribosomal RNA, 496 nt
Filed under: uncultured bacterium
Lineage: Bacteria
Description: partial 16S ribosomal RNA
Rfam family: Bacterial small subunit ribosomal RNA
Source: RNAcentral
AUGAACGCUGGCGGCGUGCCUAAUACCUGCAAGUCGCGCGAACAGACGAGGAGCUUGCUCCUCUGACGUUAGCGGCGGACGGGUGAGUAACACAUGGAUAACCUACCUAUAAGCCUGGGAUAACUUCGGGAAACCGGAGCUAAUACCGGAUAAUAUAUUGAACCGCAUGGUUCAAUAGUGAAAGACGGUUUUGCUGUCACUUAUAGAUGGAUCCGCGCCGCAUUAGCUAGUUGGUAAGGUAACGGCUUACCAAGGCAACGAUGCGUAGCCGACCUGAGAGGGUGAUCGGCCACACUGGAACUGAGACACGGUCCAGACUCCUACGGGAGGCAGCAGUAGGGAAUCUUCCGCAAUGGGCGAAAGCCUGACGGAGCAACGCCGCGUGAGUGAUGAAGGUCUUCGGAUCGUAAAACUCUGUUAUUAGGGAAGAACAAAUGUGUAAGUAACUAUGCACGUCUUGACGGUACCUAAUCAGAAAGCCACGGCUAACUACGUG